Molecule: ribosomal RNA, 456 nt
Filed under: uncultured bacterium
Lineage: Bacteria
Description: bacterial SSU rRNA
Rfam family: Bacterial small subunit ribosomal RNA
Source: RNAcentral
AGCGAACGCUGGCGGCAGGCCUAACACAUGCAAGUCGAACGAACCCUUCGGGGUUAGUGGCGGACGGGUGAGUAACACGUGGGAACGUACCUUUAGGUUCGGAACAACACAGGGAAACUUGUGCUAAUGCCGAAUGUGCCCUUCGGGGAAAGGAUUUAUCGCCUUUAGAGCGGCCCGCGUCUGAUUAGCUUGUUGGUGAGGUAAAGGCUCACCAAGGCUUCGAUCAGUAGCUGGUCUGAGAGGAUGAUCAGCCACACUGGGACUGAGACACGGCCCAGACUCCUACGGGAGGCAGCAGUGGGGAAUCUUGCGCAAUGGGCGAAAGCCUGACGCAGCCAUGCCGCGUGAAUGAUGAAGGUCUUAGGAUUGUAAAAUUCUUUCACCGGGGAAGAUAAUGACGGUACCCGGAGAAGAAGCCCCGGCUAACUUCGUGCCAGCAGCCGCGGUAAAGUCUGU